AACGAACGCUGGCGGCAUGCCUAACACAUGCAAGUCGAACGAGACCUUCGGGUCUAGUGGCGCACGGGUGCGUAACGCGUGGGAACCUGCCCUUAGGUUCGGAAUAACUCAGAGAAAUUUGAGCUAAUACCGGAUAAUGUCUUCGGACCAAAGAUUUAUCGCCUUUGGAUGGGCCCGCGUAGGAUUAGCUUGUUGGUGGGGUAAUGGCCUACCAAGGCGACGAUCCUUAGCUGGUCUGAGAGGAUGAUCAGCCACACUGAGACUGAGACACGGCCCAGACUCCUACGGGAGGCAGCAGUGGGGAAUAUUGGACAAUGGGCGAAGGCCUGAUCCAGCAAUGCCGCGUGAGUGAUGAAGGCCUUAGAGUUGUAAAGCUCUUUUACAAGGGAUGAUAAUGACAGUACCUGGAGAAUAAGCACCGGCUAACUCCGUG
This 433-nucleotide ribosomal RNA is filed under the name uncultured bacterium. Its description in RNAcentral is "partial 16S ribosomal RNA". It matches the Rfam family "Bacterial small subunit ribosomal RNA", at positions 29 to 507 of the family's 1533-position model. The record is from RNAcentral.